GUAAUUCUGGACCUUGCAUUUCCACUUUCAAGGUUUUUCUGAAGACAUAAAGACAAAAAUGUAUGCAAAAUAUGCAUGCUCACUAUAGCACUUUUUAUAAUAACAAAAAAUAUAAUUAGAUAUUAGAAACAAUAUAAUAUACAUUAUAUAAAUUAAAUUAAUAUUCACAUAGAUAACAAUUUAAAUAAGGCAUAUGUCAUUCAUAUGUGCAAUGUAUCAUUCAUGUAUGUUUGUAAAUAUUUAGAAAAUGUCUUGAAAAAAGCACAUCAAUGUGAACAGUGGUUUCCUCUAAUUUGUGGAAUUUAUGGAUGAAGAGAAUGAAAGUUACAUAUAUGCAUAUAUGUAACUACACUUAUACAUAAUUAUAGUUGUAUAUAUUAUAAUUAUAUAUAACAUGUUAAUUAUAUUCCAUAUGAUUAUAUGAUAAUUAUAUGUAUAUAUUUCUAUAUUCUGAUGAUCUUUAAAAUAAUUUUUAAACUUUUUAAGAUAACUAUAAAUUCACAUGAAGUUUUAAGAAAUCAUACAGAGCAAUCCAGCAUAUUUUCUACCAAGUUUCCUCCAAUGGUAGUAUCUUGCAAAACUAUGCUGCUACAUCAAAACCGGUAUGCUGACAUUGAUACAGGUAAAACACAGAACAUUUCUGUCCUCAUAAGGAUCUCUCAUACAGCUCUUAUAUAACACACUCACUUCCUUCCUGCCCCCAUCGUCUCCUUAACCCCUGGAAAUUACAAAUUUGUUCUUUAUUUCUAUAAUUUUGUCAUUUUGAGAAUGUUACAUAAAUAAAAGUAUACAAAAUUU
This 798-nucleotide non-coding RNA is filed under the name Pan troglodytes (chimpanzee). Lineage: Eukaryota; Metazoa; Chordata; Mammalia; Primates; Hominidae. The record is from RNAcentral.